AACGCACAUUGCGCCCCUUGGUAUUCCGGGGGGCAUGCCUGUUCGAGCGUCAUUACACCACUCAAGCCUGGCUUGGUAUUGGGCGGCGGGGUCCCCCCCGGCGCCUCCAUGUGACUCGGCUGGACGGUUGGAAUCUCAGCGUUGUGAAUCAAUUCGCUCCUGACGACGACCGCCCGCGCCGUUAAACCUUUUCAUUCGGGUUGACCUCGGAUCAGGUAGGGAUACCCGCUGAACUUAA
Molecule: unclassified non-coding RNA, 238 nt
Filed under: uncultured fungus
Lineage: Eukaryota; Fungi
Description: partial contains 5.8S ribosomal RNA, internal transcribed spacer 2, and large subunit ribosomal RNA
Source: RNAcentral